Taeniopygia guttata (zebra finch) is the source of this 4502-nucleotide long non-coding RNA. The record is from Ensembl. Lineage: Eukaryota; Metazoa; Chordata; Aves; Passeriformes; Estrildidae.
UCAAUGAGGAAAAUGAAUCUUUAUUUUUUUUCUCUAAAAGCAGUAUCCAUGUACAUGUUUUUUUUUAUAUGGUUUAGUGGUGGUUUUAAGAUGUGAAUAGUCACAUCACAGAAACAAUACACAACAACCAAUGAAGGAAUGAAGAGCUAAUUUGACAAUUGCUUUAUCAAGUAGCCCAAACAUUAUUUUUAGCUAAUGGCUUUGCCACAGUGGACUUCAGGACAAUAUUAAAAUCUCACGUACUCAACACAAAAUACAGAGAUAACAACUGGGAAAAGAGCUACAAAAUACAAUUAUUGCUGUUGUAUCUGCAUUGCUUCCUUGCAGGAUACUCUAUUGUAUGCUGGGAAAGCAGUUCUUGAAUUUCAGUUUCAUUAAGAAUGUCAUUUAGAUAAAUAAAAAGUAACGAACCAGCCAAUCUCACAUGGUUAAUUUAUCUGACACCAAAAGAAAAUGGGUUGUUCUACAAAAAAAAAAAAAAAAAAAAAGCAGAGAGGUUUUGUUUUAUAAGGCAAAGAGUAGAUUGUUAUACUUUGAAAAAGAGAGGAUGGAUGUGCUUAAACAUCUAAGUAAAUUUGGUUUGUAGGUGUUCCCAAAGCCUGCAAAGGGCAAUCCUGGCCAAAUGACCUGUCAGCACCAGUGAGAUCUCCCCUAUGCUUGGGAGGAGGUGGCUCUCCAGCUGUGUUCCUCAAGGUCCCAGCCCAGCUACACUUACACACACGCCAGUCUGACCCCAGGUAUUCCCUCACACCACUAAACCAGCCCACACCUCUGCCUCUGCUGAAGUCAGGUGUAAGUGUUGAUGCCCUCCCACAGCUAUUGAGUGUGAGAGGGAAUGAGAAACUAUUGCAGUCAUUUAGCUUAAAGGGUAGACAGAGUAAUAAACACUCCAAGACCAAGUUAUGACAACCCUUUUAAGACCGGAAGAUGGAAAAUUUUUCAAGCACACUGAUAACUAUGAACCACACAUGGUAUUUGGUAGUGCCUCUACAAACAUCUGUGAGAGACCUGAUGUGCACCAGCACAUUCCCUGGGCUGCAUGGCAAGGAAAACCCAGCACUCUGCAGUGUUGCUUCCCUUGCAAAUGUGCAUUUCCGUGUGACUGGGUGCCUAGGCCAGCAGCUUCUCAUGAAACCUUGAGAAAUAUAUUCUAGAACAUCUAAAGGUGAAAUUUGAACAUCUCUCGUGUUACUGAGCAAAGGUUAGCUGGAAAAAACAUUUAAUACAGGUGAUUCUAGGUUUAGUCUAUGAUUAGUCUAAACAAUGUGCCCAAACAUAUUUAAUUUGCACAAAAUUCUUAAACAAUGCCUCUCUAAAAUUUACAAAAUAUAUAAAAUAUGUGAUUUGACAUUUAUAAAACCUCAGCCCUUUUACAGAAAACAAGGCCGUAGAAUUUUAAGUCUACUGGUUUUUCUUCUCAGCAGUUUUAGUUCCUAUGAUAAAAAAACUUCAAACAAACAGCAGUCCACCAUGGCCUUACAAUGCAAGGAAUAAAUUAGCAAGUCACACUGUAAAUAAAAAUAAAUAAUUUCUAUUUUUUUUAAUGGUCUUUUUAAUUGCACAGUGUUUUAAAUUUUCAGUAGCAAUGGAAAGUCAGUUGGGUAUUUUUCUAAAUGCUCCACAGAGCAGGAAAGCAUUAUGUCUCAUUUUUUCAAACUUUACACAUUGAAAAUACCUUGGUUGAACCAUCAACUGAUAAAACUGGUGAAUGUUUUGGUAGUCUCUUACUGUGGCAAGAUGGUGCAGCAUCUCUCACCCAAGGCAUUCAGUCCUCCGGUGCUCACCCUGCUGGGCAAACGCCCCCAGUGUUCCCUUCCACGUGAGGUACUCUGGCAGCUUUGAUAUUUUUGGGAAGGUGUUCACCGUCAGCUACAACUUUCACAGCAGAAGUUCAUCACCAUCUCAGCUACAGUCUGCACCCGCUGAGACUGCAGGAGUCUCCUUGAGGUUUUUCCCCAGCCUGGCACGCCUUCUCUUUUCAGGGCAUCACACCAACACAUCAGGCUUUGGGCUCUCCCAGAGCUACUCUGCAGUGGAGGACCAAGCUACAAUUCAGACUACCAAAGAAAAUGGGACACCUGGGAAGGUAUGAUCUUACCUCAGACCAUUAGCAGUAUCUUAAACCCACUUACCAAAUAUAUGUGUAUAUAUAUACAAAUAUAUACAUAUACACACAUAUAUAUAUAUACAUACACACAUAUAUAUAUAUGAAACCCACAUAUUUGAAAAAAUAAAAAACAACGAAGUGAUUAAUACUGUCAUAGGCUGGGUAUGUUUAGCUCAAGUUAGUUAUCUACAGAACAUACUUAAAAACUCUUAAAUAUUUGUGACAUGUUGUAUUGAAAACAGUUGUGGGGAGAUGCGUAAUGUAUGUGCAUUAGAAAUACUGUAUAGCUAUAUACUAUUACUGAUGCAGUUAUAACAGCUUGGGAUUUUAUCUAAAAGUUACAGAGUUUCUGCUAGGUAUCAAACAACUCUCAAGUACUGAAGACAAAGGGAAGUUUUGCCCUCUUCUUAGUUGAGGGACAGCUCAAAUUUUAAGGUACUAAAUCCUUCAUUGCAUCUCUGGCACUCAGCUGGGGCCAAGACAGCAUCACUGAAGUACCUCUGCUAUUUAAGGAUCAUGGCAGGUUACAGCUCAGUUAUUUGCAUCAAUGCAAUUACAUAGAUAAAGGUAGUACCACUGCAUCCAUGUUUGUUACUGGUGUACUCUUUAGGAGCUGUUAAAUAUACAGACUGAUCUCAUCAUGGAGAUGUUCACACACAAUUCCUCCAUCUGUUACCACAGCAAAACAAAAGUAAGUAUCAAGGCAAACAUUUUGUCCACAAUAAAUUUCCUUUACCGAACAUAAGUGAGUCUAAGGGGAACUAGCACAUCAUUGCACAACAUUAAUAUCCACCAAAUUACUCCUGCUCUUGUAUUUUUAAAGCAUUUUCAGUGCUUGGGUGCAUAGCACAGAACCUAUCACAAGAACACCCUAGCGAUCACCACCCUUUGGGAUUUCAGUACUGCCCUGGCUGUAUGUGGAGGCAAUGGACACAGAUAACUCAGGCCUGGGCAGUGCAGCACCUCACACUGGUAUCUCAGUUGCUGAGCCCCUGCUCUAGGCCAGACUGUUACAUGUGCAUGGCAGGAGCAUCCUGGUGCCCACAUCACAGGAAAAACCACAUUUCAGUUCAUGCUUAAAGGAAUAUACACAUUUCAGUUCAUGCUUAAAGGAAUUCAACUUUUGGCAGAAGUAAAUACCUACAUAAAAAUAAAUGUAGAAACCUAUUAAAACCACAAACACAAUAAUUGCAUUAUUAAAACAGCUGCAUCUACACUAUGGUGUAGUACUUCAGUGUAAUUCAGUUUAACCAAAUCUUAGCGUACAACUAAGAUGAGACCCAUUUCCCAGUCCAAACCUCAGUGUCAGCACUGCACCAAUCUCUACAUUCAAAUAUGCUCUACGGAUGGCGACCAACCAAAUCCAGGGAAAAACUGUUGCCACAGAUGAAGAGGUCUUCUCCCUAAACAGACAAUGCAGGACAGAUGUGUGUAGAGCCCCUCUGGCCAUGCCACGGGAACAGGCAAUGGCAGAACCUGCAGCGCUCUGGCAGUGGAAGCUGCAGGAGCACCACGUCCUGAAUUGGUUUGCUGAACAUGGUUCAGAUUAUUGGAUAAGUCUAUAGCACAAUGCUCUUUAGAAGCAUUUACUGUAUACCCAAACCCUACUUGCUGCAACACAUGGUGUCACACAAGUAGUGAAAACGUCUUCGUAUUCAAAGGUGCUUGGACAUAAUUUUCAGGCAGCAUUUUACCUUUAUUUUAGUGAGUUCCCACUACAAAGAUUUUAGAAGUAAGAAGAUGCCAAUAGUCUAUUUUUUCGUUUUAGUAUGUGAAAUUGAGAGAGACACCUAAAUAAAUACCUACUUUUACUUGCCUAAAUCUAUUCUAUGUCUGAAAUCUCUAAUUUUUAAAUAAGGGAUAAAAUGUUGCCCAAAAGACUAGUUAUAAUUUUACAUUUGUGUUUCUAAUCUACAAAUCAAAAUAGUUCUCAGUUAAAAAGAUACAAUUUGUAUCAACAGUAAAAGGUACUUUCUGGUUCUUCAGGGCCUUACUUAAAACUCCAGCAAUUGUAACAAAAUUAUCAGCUGUAAUAGUGUAAACGAGUGACAUUUUUUUUAACACUGAACAUCAUUACAAUAGAUGGAAGCCUAAAACUGUCGGCAACUGAUCAUGUCAUGGAAGUACAUCUGACAUCAAUUGCAAAAACUAUUUAUAUUUUUAAUAUAUAUAGAUAUAUAAAAGCUUAAGAGGUGCUAGUAAAACCCAUGACUUUAAACCAGAAAUAUCCCUUACUAAUGCUAAAACAGACUUGGCUUGUCUGUUUCUAAACCUACACUAUUUGUGGCAAGAAUCAGGCCUACACAAUGCAAAAAGCAAAAAAACUCCAGGAACACAUAUGGUAUCUUCUCUCCCCAUGACCCUCCCCUCCCAAAAAAAAAAAAAAAAAAAAAAA